Molecule: long non-coding RNA, 1296 nt
Organism: Acinonyx jubatus (cheetah)
Lineage: Eukaryota; Metazoa; Chordata; Mammalia; Carnivora; Felidae
Exons: 3
Source: RefSeq, a predicted model, not a curated record
CGGCGCAACUCCGCCCUCCUCCCCCCACGCGCCCGGUUUCCUAAUGCAAAUCUCCCCGCCUCAGCCAAGCGCUCCGUGGGCCUGGGUGCGUGGUUGCCGACCGCGGAAAAGGGGAAUCCGGAAAAGGGGAUCCCGGAUGUUUUCAAAUUUCUCAAGAUGAGAUGCAUCUCGGAACACACUUUGGAAUUUUGGAGCACUCUGUACACCAGUUUCCUUCGCCUCCUCUCUGCCCUCCAAGUCAAACACAGAAUCUAGGAAUUUUAUUUCUAUUUUACAGGAAACAGAUCUUUCUAACUUUGGAAGAUUGCCACAGAGUACUGCUAGUGUUGUCACUAACAUGCUACUGAACAGCAUACUGAAAGCCACUCUAACGCAGGCGCCUAGAGCUGGAGACAGUGGAGUGCUGAGGAGGAGAGUGGCUCUGUUGAGGGCAGGGGAGAACAAGGAGCCAUUUGAGUCAAGAGGCCCAGGAGUUUCUGGAAACUCACAAGGAAUCUGGCAGCACAGUUCCCAAGAAGUCUGACCCAGGAGGAUCAGAAAAACUCUGUGGUUCUCAGAGGCAAAUCCCCAACCCUGGGAGUCCAGAAGCUGCAGGCUCUUUCCAGAAGGGAGAAGUUCCUGCCAAGGCCCUUCCAGACUAAGCCUGUAGCAUUCCUGAUGCUGCGUGAAUACAGAACUCCAGUGGAUCCAGCAUGGGACUCAAAGCAAGCACAAGGCAAGCAUUUUAUUGAAGCUGUUGGCUUCUGCAGAGUGUUAGGAGAAUGUGCAUGUAUCAAGAAGUGAAAGAGGGGCACCUGAGUGGCUUAGUCGGUUAAGCGUCCGACUCGUGUUCAGGUCAUGAUCUCAUGGUUCGUGGGUUUGAGCCCUGCAUUGGGCUCUGUGCUGACAGCUCAGAGCCUGGAGCCUGCUUCAAUUCUGUGUCUCGCUCUCUCUCUGUCCCUCCCCAGCUCACACUCUGUCUCUCUCUCUCAAUAAUAAAUAAACAUUGAAAAAAAAAGUGAAAGAAAAAAACAGGUGAGUCAGUUUUUUGCAACAUAUCCAGGGUGGUAGUAAGAACAAAAGCAUAUACACAUGCAAGUACAAGCUACAAAACACAAAUUGUAUAAUUUUGGUUAUCCUGCAUACAAGUUAAAUGUUCUCAUAUAAUUUGGGGGCACUUGGGUGGCUCAGCCAGUUAAGCAUCCGACUCUUGAUUUCAGGUCAGGUCAUGAUCUCACGGUUCAUGAGUUCAAGUCCCACUUUGGGCUCUGCACUGACAGCACAGAGCAUGCUUGGGAUUCUCUCUCUCCCUCUCUC